RNAcentral lists this transfer RNA (79 nucleotides) under Podarcis lilfordi (Lilford's wall lizard). RNAcentral's name for it is "tRNA.Ile". The stretch from base 7 to 65 matches the Rfam family "tRNA", at positions 8 to 63 of the family's 71-position model. Rfam says of the family: Transfer RNA (tRNA) molecules are approximately 80 nucleotides in length. Their secondary structure includes four short double-helical elements and three loops (D, anti-codon, and T loops). Lineage: Eukaryota; Metazoa; Chordata; Lepidosauria; Squamata; Lacertidae. The record is from RNAcentral.
GCAUGAUAGCUCAGUUAGUUAGAGCAUGGUGCUGAUAACACCAAGGUUACAGGUUCGAUCCCUAUAAGGGUCAGCUGCA